GAGGGUAUAGCUUAGUGGCAGAGCGUGUACUUAGCAUGCAAGAGGUCCUGGGUUCAAGCCCCAGUACCUCCA
This is a transfer RNA of Camelus ferus (Wild Bactrian camel), 72 nucleotides long. It matches the Rfam family "tRNA". From Rfam's summary of the family: Transfer RNA (tRNA) molecules are approximately 80 nucleotides in length. NCBI's taxonomy places the organism in Eukaryota, Metazoa, Chordata, Mammalia, Artiodactyla, Camelidae. The record is from Rfam.